Long non-coding RNA from Sceloporus undulatus (fence lizard), 5124 nucleotides. RefSeq lists it as uncharacterized. The record is from RefSeq and is a predicted model, not a curated record. Lineage: Eukaryota; Metazoa; Chordata; Lepidosauria; Squamata; Phrynosomatidae. The transcript is spliced from 8 exons.
UACUGGCCCAGAGCACAGCCUCAUUGCUACAUCAAAAACACACCUUCCUGGCUCAGAAUAGAACCUGCCAGAUCAGCAUCACAAGAGUGAGUGAGACAGAGAAAGCUAGGAACGUUCCCAAGAUGUGUCAAAUCCCAGCCAAGGCAGUGAUGGUGCUGAGCACAAAAAUGCUGCUCAGAUUGGACCCCGAGGCUAAGCCCGCAUCCCAAGGAUCUUGCCAGGCAGAGACUACAUCAAUGUUAGACAAUAGAGCAGCACCCCAGGCUGUGACCUCCCUUAAUAGAAAGACUGCUUCCAGAAAGUGCAUCUACUCAGAAGAAAACACUUUUGAGUUCUCUAAAUGGAUCAGGAAAAGAUAUUUAUUUCCAGGUUCUGCCCAACAGUCAGUCUGACCCCUGGCUCUUUCUUGCUAGAAAAGGAACCAUACAGGAAUCAUAUAGGUAACCUGCAAUGCCUGCAUAGCUCCCUGGGAAGAAGACACAUGGCUGAAGACAACAGUCCCCUCCCGCUCCACGCCUCCCCCGCAGAUGGGAAAGGGGGUUCCAGGCAUUUGAAAAAGCCUGGCUCCAAAGUAAAAAGAUGUGCCUUAAGCAGACUAAUAGUGAGGAGUUGGAACUCAAAACCGCCUUGCUUCCACAUUUGCCUCUAUGCUCACUACUUAUCACCUGAAGAAGGAUAACCACACGGGAAUGAAAGAAUAGGACCAAGUCUGGCUCAGAAGCCUGUUCUCCACCCUUCUCAGUCUAAGGGAAGCACAGGGUUCUCCAAGAAGACAGACAGCUUGCCAGCCACCGUGUCCAGGUCAUUUGUAUUGGCAUACUUGAGCAGAUUUGUGUCUUUGAUGAAGUAAUGCUUCAGGAAAUGCUGGCUCACACAUUUGUGUAACUUCUGAACCAUCCGUAGGAAGCCUGUGCGGAAACAGCACCAGUCUUUGGAGUGAGGGUAUUUCUCACAGGUCCAAAAAAGCACCAUCUGCAAAAAGCAUGCAAAGAAGUCACAACUGAGGCACAGUGGUUUUGUUUCAACAGCACAGGAAGUCUUUUAAGCCAUCAGUCCCAACCACAUGAUAUGCCAACAUAUGCCCACCAUCCCAAGGGACACUUGAAGGAUGUUCAUAGCCAAUCCCAGUGUGGCCUAAACAAGCAGUGAGGAGACAUCAACAAGACAGCCAGCAGAAGACCUGAGCGGCUCAGCCUCAACUGGAUAAAAUUCUUUGAGGAAAUUUAUGUAGCUGUUUGAUCUUCAGAAUGAUGGGAAAUGUGAAGGUAGUGCUCAGCCAAUGUUCAACCAUAGCCUUCUACGUGUCCUUCUUGAAUAUGGACCACUUCUGUGAUGAACUUAGAUUGCCACCGAAGAAACAGGAAGGGGCUAAGUACUUCUGUCAAGUCUGAGGCCCCAUUCACACUAUGAAAAUAAUCCAGGAUGAAUCCUCGUUAUGGACACAUAAACAACACUACAAUGCCUUCAGCCAGAUAUGACCUGUGGAGGAAUGAUGCUUUUUGAAGCAAGAACAUCGAGGAGCUUCUAAUAUGUUUCAGAGGAAGCCUUUGGAUCUACGCCUGAAGGAAAACAGUAGAAACUUAUAUUGCAGUUUUCACUGACAGAAUUCAUCAGCGAGAUGUCUAGGAGAAGACAGGACCAACCGAGCCUGAAAGACAACAAAGAGCCUUUAAAAGACCCACUGAGCAUUCAGUUGGAUCUUCACAAGAAUUGAAAGGAUGAAGACAAUCCUAAGUAAAGUUGUAGCUGUGGAAGGAAGACUUGAAGGAAAUAGCCGGCAGGAUCUCUUCCUCUCAUCUCUUCUCCAUGCAAUCGCCCAACAACAAGAAACGUUCAAGAGUCCUGCUCCUUCCAAUGAGACAAAGUAGCCAAAGGGAAAGUCCAGGUCAUCGUGAAAAUCCGUGAAUUCAUGUAAACACCUUGACAGACGUCAUCUUCAAAGGACACGAUCACAAUGGAAGUGAUGUGCAGAAAUGAACCCCGUGAAUGCAGAACAUUUGAGAACGAUGGGCAACAUCUUAACAGAAGUUAACUUCAAAGAAACAGUCACAAGAUGAGUGAUUUCCAGAAAUGCAUGCUGUGCAUGCAAAACAUUAAAGAGUGAAUGACAACGUCUCAGAGGAAAGCAAAAACUCAUGGACCAACACCUUGACGAAUAUGGUGACAGCUUAUGUUCAUGGAUGAAAUGCAUCAGCAAGUCUAGGGGAAGAGAGAAGCAGCCAAGUCUUAAAAGGCAUUGAAGAGCCUUUAAAAAACCCACUGAAGUAUUCAUACACCUCCUCCUUCCUGUUUCUCCAUCUCUUUCCCUUGUAGUCACUUUUGCUUGUAAGACUGAAAUAAACUUCAUCAUCAAUGCUUUCUUUGCUUUGCAGCAUCCAGUGCAAUCUUCAAAAGAAUGCAAAGGAUGAAAACAUUGCUAAGCAAAGUUGUAGCUAAAGAAGAAAGACUCAGAAGAAAUAACCUCCUCCUUAACCCUGGCCUCCUAAGUUUCCAUCUGGCAUGAGGUUCACAUCCAUAGCCCACAUUGUGCUGAUGAAGAAAGAAGGAGGGAGAAAGAAAAGGAAGCCUUUGGAAGCAUCUCCUACUCAGGGUUCUCCUCCAUGCAAUCAUCUUCCAACAGGUAAGGUUCAAGAGCUCUGCUCCAUUCAGUGAAAUAAAGUAGCUGAAGGGAAAUUCCAUUAAGACACAGGUGAGUAUUCCUCCUUCACACCUAAAGCCUCUUUCUUUGGACUGAUCCCAUGCAACAGCCAUGCAGGAUUUGUCACUAUGCCCCAUCUAGCAAACAAGGAAGAUGACAUGAAGAUGGCAAAGUCAAGCAGACAACAAUGCUGCAUUUUCCCAAACACUGAAAUAUGCGAAUUCACAUGAGCUCAAGCCAUUUGGUGGGUGGUGUUCCGUUUUUAGAGUUUCUCGUCUUUCCUGUGUUAAUAGCACUUGGAAAAGAUGUUCUAGGACACGAAACAUUUCAUAGCUGCUGAUAUGUUGGAGAUGGGACUCCACAAACCUAGCAGAAAAUGACUAGAAUUCCCUCCCCCUGGAUUUAUGAAAAUUUCAUAAAGGAAAAUACAUCAUAAUGAUUUGGAACAGAAACCACCAGCCUAGUCUUGACUGAACUGCAUGCCAGUAAGCACACAUUUCCAACUUUCCUCCAAACUGUUUUCCUUCUAACUUAAUGCCAUUGUGACCUUCACAUCACAUCUCCUUUCCUUUGGACUCACUUCUUCCAAACCAGCAAUGAAGCUUGGUUUGCUUCCUUGUCUGCAUAACACAAGAGAUGACUCCAGCUGCAGAGACCCUUCCCACUUUAUGGCUGGUAGAUACAAACAGCUGAAGCUAUGUUCCCUCAGAUGCACCAGUUGGUUUGGCUUUGUGUCCAGGGAGGGGAUUUAGCUCCCCAAAACAUGAGUUUUCCUUAAUCCCAAAGACGACAGCUUUCUAGGGGGAUUCAGUUCUCCAGGUGAGUAUUCUGCACUUCAUUUCCGGUCCCACUCCCUUCCUCCAUUUUUUUCCUGCAACCCAACAGCUGUGCAUUGAUGCUCCUUCUCCUCCAUCUUGCAGACUUGGAUGACAACAGAAGGACUGAAGCUCCACUAUACAAGAAAGCUGAGAAUAUGUGGAUACAGCAUUCCAUCAUGUACAAAAAGGUUUCUGCAGAUCAAUGAGGAGAGGCCAUCGAGAAAGCUCAUUAAUUCAUACAAACAUCUCAGGAGACGUUAACUUCAAAGAAACUAUCAGAAGGUAAGUGAUAUACAAGAAUGAAACCUGUGACUCCAGAACAUUUAAGAAUAACUGAGAACAUAACUCAACAGAAUUUAACUUCAAGGAGACUGUCACAAGGUAAGUGAUCUCCAGAAAUGAACCAUGUGGAUGCAAAAAAAAGGCUUAUUUGUUGAGCCUUAAGGUAAGAAGGAAUGCAUUUGGCCUGAGCAAGAGUUGGCAGGAAGGUGGUCUGUGGUCCUUGCUGACAUGUCCAGGGUAGCACUGGCCGCCACAUUUGGGGUCAGGAAGGAAUUUUCCUCCAGGGCAGAUUGGCCAGAGAUCCUGGAGGUUUUUCACCUUCCUCUGGGCAUCCAGCAGGGUCCACCUGUUAGGAUGUUUGAAAAAUUAAUGUAUAUUGUCACUGACUCAGGGUAACCAUGGGUGAAACAAUCUCCAAGCUCCUCCAUCCUUAACCCAUUCUGCAUCCUUUUUCAGGCUUUGAGCUGUAGCCUCCUUAACUGAAUUUAUCUAUCUGGUAUGUGGUCCACCUCUUUUCCUCCUAUCUUCUACCAUUCCAAGCAUUAUUGCCCUCUCUAGUGAGCUGUGCCUUUUCAUAAUGUGACCAAAAUACGACAGCCUUACUUUGUCUAUCCUGGCUUCUAGGGAGAAUUCAGACUUGAUCUAUUCCCAUAUCCAUGUCUUCCUGACCAUCCAUGGUGUCCUCAGCACUCCUCUCCAGAACAACAUCUCAAAUGAUUUUCUUUCUGUCAGCUCUCUUCACUGUCCAUCUCACACAUCUAUAGAUGGUGAUGGGAAAUACAACAGUAUGGAUGAUGCUUUCUUUAGUGUUCAGGGUUAUGGCUUUGCAUGUUAUGAUCUUAUCUGGUUCUUUCAUAGCUGCUUUUCCCAGUCUUAGUCUUCUUCUGAUUCCUUGAAUGCAAUCUCCGUUCUGAUUGUUGAUGGAUCCAGGAUAUGAGAAGUCUUUGCCCUUUCCAAUGUCAUCAUUUUCUAGACUGAAUUUAAAAUAAAAUUUAGAAGAAACAUCACGUUGUCCAAACAGGAUGGCUUUUCCUUGAUGAUGAUGAUGGAGCCUGGAAGAUGCCAGCAAGUCUUCUACACGGAAAGUUGGAUGGAGGGAGCUUCGCCAUUUGCUUGUAUAAGGAAGGCUCUUGUCGACAUGCCCAGGGUAGCACUGACCGCCAUUUUUGGGGUCGGGAAGGAAUUUUCCUCCAGGGCAGAUUGGCUGGAGAUCCUGGAGGUUUUUCGCCUUCCUCUGGGCAUCCGGCAGGGGUCACCUGUUAGGCUGUUUGGGAGAUUCAUAGGCAUCAAAGUAAAGUUAUAAUUUUAAAACUUGCCAAACUGAAUCUGACAAAUAGACAUAACAACCAUAAUGCAAAAUAAAUAAAAAUCAGAACCUUGAAAAUA